UACGGAGGAUCCAAGCGUUAUCCGGAUUUAUUGGGUUUAAAGGGUGCGUAGGCGGCCUAUUAAGUCAGGGGUGAAAGACGGUGGCUCAACCAUCGCAGUGCCUUUGAUACUGAUAGGCUUGAAUACACUAGAGGUAGGCGGAAUGUGACAAGUAGCGGUGAAAUGCAUAGAUAUGUCACGAGAACACCGAUUGCGAAGGCAGCUUACUAUGGUGUCAUUGACGCUGAGGCACGAAAGCGUGGGGGAUCAAACAGG
RNAcentral lists this ribosomal RNA (255 nucleotides) under uncultured bacterium. RNAcentral's name for it is "partial 16S ribosomal RNA". It matches the Rfam family "Bacterial small subunit ribosomal RNA", at positions 524 to 776 of the family's 1533-position model. The record is from RNAcentral.